UACGUAGGGGGCAAGCGUUGUCCGGAAUUAUUGGGCGUAAAGGGCGCGUAGGCGGCUUUGCAAGUGACGGGUGAAAGCCCUCGGCUUAACCGAGGAACUGCCUGUCAGACUGUGAGGCUUGAGACCGGGAGAGGUGAGUGGAAUUCCCAGUGUAGCGGUGAAAUGCGUAGAUAUUGGGAGGAACACCAGUGGCGAAGGCGGCUCACUGGACCGGUUCUGACGCUGAGGCGCGAAAGCGUGGGGAGCAAACGGG
RNAcentral lists this ribosomal RNA (253 nucleotides) under uncultured bacterium. Its description in RNAcentral is "partial 16S ribosomal RNA". It matches the Rfam family "Bacterial small subunit ribosomal RNA", at positions 524 to 776 of the family's 1533-position model. The record is from RNAcentral.